CGUCAAGUCAUCAUGCCCCUUAUGACCUGGGCUACACACGUGCUACAAUGGCCGGUACAGCGCGCAGCGAACUCGCGAGGGUAAGCAAAUCGCUUAAAACCGGUCUCAGUUCAGAUCGGAGUCUGCAACCCGACUCCGUGAAGUCGGAAUCGCUAGUAAUCUCGGGUCAGCAUACCGAGGUGAAUACGUUCCCGGGCCUU
RNAcentral lists this ribosomal RNA (200 nucleotides) under uncultured organism. RNAcentral describes it as "partial small subunit ribosomal RNA". It matches the Rfam family "Bacterial small subunit ribosomal RNA", at positions 1183 to 1382 of the family's 1533-position model. The record is from RNAcentral.